UGGGGAAUAUUGCACAAUGGGGGGAACCCUGAUGCAGCGACGCCGCGUGAAGGAAGAAGUAUCUCGGUAUGUAAACUUCUAUCAGCAGGGAAGAAAGAGGACGGUACCUGACUAAGAAGCCCCGGCUAACUACGUGCCAGCAGCCGCGGUAAUACGUAGGGGGCGAGCGUUAUCCGGAUUUACUGGGUGUAAAGGGAGCGUAGACGGCCAUGCAAGCUCGGUGUGAAAGGUGCGGGCACAACCCGCAGACUGCACUGAGAACUGUAUGGCUGGAGUGCCGGAGGGGCAGGCGGAAUUCCUGGU
RNAcentral lists this ribosomal RNA (303 nucleotides) under uncultured bacterium. RNAcentral's name for it is "bacterial SSU rRNA". It matches the Rfam family "Bacterial small subunit ribosomal RNA", at positions 355 to 674 of the family's 1533-position model. The record is from RNAcentral.